CCUCUUCUGCACCCGGUCUCUGUUGUCACUUCACUCCCCCUGUCUGGUUCGCCUGGCCGCUUAUAUAGAUUCCUUCAGGUAACUCAGAUGCUUCUCGAAAUCUCCAGAACAGGUGCGAAACUUCCAGCUUGUCAGUGUCAUAUUUUACAGUAAAUGGGGCGCAAAUGGGGCUCCCAUUUACUUAAAUACCAUCAAUUGCGAUCCCCCCAUUCGAAACGUGAGUAUCCCAGGCCAUCUCCGUUACAAUAUAAAUAAAAUAGUAUCGGAAUGAAAACCUACAGUGCUCAAAUCCCUAUGACAGCGAUCAUUUCUAGCAAAAUUAUGCUCCUGCAGAUGAGCCGGAGAUCCACAUUGUUCGAAAAUUUAAACAACAGGAUUUGUUGAUAACAAUCAACAGUUACUGAGAUAAUAAUAAUUAGGGAGUAGAAUAAAGUAGCCAAGUGUGGACACAUGAAACACCAUAACAAUUUGCUGAAUUUUAUUGGAGAACUUUUCAGAAAGCGAAUAUUUGUAUGCGACUACGAAAACAAUGCAUUGACAAAAACAUGGCAAAACGUAGCAAAAAUCCAUUAAAACCGUUCCUGUUUUGAACAGGAAAUAUAUUUUCGAAAUCUUUCCAUGGCUAUUUGAGUUAAAAGCGAUCCCGAAUAUAAAGAAAUGAUUCACAAUAGGUCUCCUCUCAAAGGGGACAGCCAAAUUAGAGGUAGGAUAAAGUUGGAUUACUUGAAAGGACGAGUUAUAGGAUUUUAAGCGAAAAGGUCGGUGCGAAUCAUUCCAAAGUGACAAAAGACACUUUAAAUAUUUAUGGAAACAUUUUCGACAUCCCGUAAGGAAUACUAAAUUGAUAGAUACUUCAAGAAAAUGUAACGAGAUUCUGCCCAAGAAGUUAUAUCGAGUUCAAAAGCAUUGUCGAUCGCAUUUUGGACAAUUUGUCACUAAUUGCCUCUACAAAAAUCAUCCAAAUCGAUGGAUAGCCACUACAAGCAUUUGGAGUUUAUUACCUGGGAGCGUGUAAAAACAUUUACUCACUCAACGGGACUACUUAAUUGCAAGACCCAACUCAUCGGAGUAACUCAAGCGGCAUUUUAUGAAGGUAAAACUGUAUGGAAGAACACAAGUGGGAAAGAAAGCUAGUGAGGAUUGAAAUCUGCAUUUGCAUUUUUUAUCUCAGGCAAACUCUGAUAUUUCAUAUCUCGUUGAGAAAUCUGGAAAAGUGAAAAUAAUACUGCUUGUUCUAUCUGGUUAUAUUAGAUUUGACAUUACAUGCAUU
Long non-coding RNA from Dendroctonus ponderosae (mountain pine beetle), 1270 nucleotides. RefSeq lists it as uncharacterized. The record is from RefSeq and is a predicted model, not a curated record. Lineage: Eukaryota; Metazoa; Arthropoda; Insecta; Coleoptera; Curculionidae. The transcript has 4 exons.